This is a long non-coding RNA of Syngnathus typhle (broad-nosed pipefish), 7029 nucleotides long. RefSeq lists it as uncharacterized. The transcript has 5 exons. Lineage: Eukaryota; Metazoa; Chordata; Actinopteri; Syngnathiformes; Syngnathidae. The record is from RefSeq and is a predicted model, not a curated record.
GCCCCCGCCGGUGAACGCGACGCCGACGCGUGGUUCCCAACGAAGCGUUUUGCGGAAGAUGUGCUUUUCGAUUCGCCCUGCGUCACAAAUAGCCCCAAAGUCCAGAAACGGUAUCCGCCAAGGCCCAGCGCUGCAAACACCAGCAGAAAGAGCAGCAGGACCACCGUGGCGAGCGUGGGGAUGCCACCGUCCAACCUUCGACGCCUCUGGUGCCAGUUGGGCAGCUGACCAGGAUGCUGCUGCUGAACUCCAUCCACGAAGAACACGGGACGGCUCUGGUCGCAGUUCAUGGCGCCGCUCCGAAUGCGAGACGUAGGAUAAUGUGCAAGUUGGGAUUGCUGAAAGGGGAAACAUGCAACAUGACAGCCAUUCUUGCCGUGAAAAUAUCACCAAGUAACCUCUUAACCAACCUGGCUCCACCAUUCUCCAGGGGGGAUCCCAGAGAGGGCAUACCCCAGCUGCGACUCACAUCCAAGGGUACAGGUACACUCAUCGCCUUGGUAUCUCCAGGAAAGAGGAGGAAGCACAUGUGUGUGUACGUGUGGUCACAGUGUAAGCCCAGCUAAUGAGUCACACAAUAAGUCACUAAUCUUUGCCGAAGGUCUUGUGUUGUUUGGCAUGGAUAUCAGUGACUGUGGAAAGACGGAACUUUUUCUUCACUUGCCUCUUUGGUGAAAAAUUCCAGUGGUGCACUCACACACCUCCAUCAGUACAUUAACCCGAACUAGCAACGAACAAAUUAACUACAAUAAUAAAGUCCCUAUCAUAGCACAUAGAUAAUGUUGGUAUUUUGUCAGGUUGCAAAUGGUUGCAAACAAUUUUUCUUGUCACAGACGACUAUUACAACUUUUGGCCCAUGUCGAACGAACUUACCCUGACAAAAACAAAUCCACAUUCAGGCUUAAGUAAUAAAAACAAGUAACUAAUUAUUAAUAUUAACUAACUAACUGAUCCUAGCCAGGGGCCACUUUGAGCCUGUUACCCCCUCACCCCUGCGUGAGGUUAAGUAUGGGAAUGUGGGGGAGUCACAGAGAGUGUUAAUUGUGGUCUGUCUUAGAAGUAAUUGCCAAAAAUCUCAUCAUUUCAUAGCAGAGAUACAAGUGUUCUUUUUUGUCAUUCGCAACAUAGACGCUCGGCUUGUUUUCCGCGACGUGUUUGGAAUUCCGGAGAGCGCCGGGAGGUCAGCCCGUCUUUGGACCCCCGACCCCCCCCACCAACCCAACACCACCACCACACCCAGCCUUAAAAAGGCACAAACCCAGCUAUAGUUCUCCAGAUAUUCACACAGGAAGCAUGGCAACUAUGAGGAGGAGUUCUGCAGGAAGAACAGGAAUGCUCAUUUUAGGGGGGAAUUUCCCUCCAAAAAAAAAAUAAAAAAAUAGCAAAACAAUGCAAGUUUGUCACAGUCGGGUUGAAGUUAAUCAGGUUUGUGCAUGACUGGCAUGACACUGCACAAAAUAAAAUACAUGCGCACCAUUUCAAGAAAAAAAAUGAUUAUUUUCAUUGGGAGCACAAAAAAAUUGUCGAAAUAAAUAGUAUUGAGAAAGUUAAAUUAGAAAUGAAAACAACUUCCAAUUCAUACGGAAAGAUUGCCAAGAAGAAUGUUGGAAUGGGCUGUUUGAAAAAUGCGAGUCCUUGACCCUUUGUUACCUCCGGGAAUGGAUGAUUGCAUGGGUCCCCCCUUGGCCACUCCCUUCAAAAUGCUUGUUGUUGAGUGUGGUGCUCUCUUGAAGCAUAUUAUUUGAUGGCCCGGGUAACAUACAUCUCAAUGAGUGAUAUCUUUAAUUUAAAGAAGGGCUCGUCCGGGAGUUGAACCCGGGACCUCUCGCACCCGAAGCGAGAAUCAUACCACUAGACCAACGAGCCACACGCAACACUGAAGAAUUUCUUACAUCAAAAUUUAAUGGACACUUUCCUAAUGCUAACUCCUGCUAACAAUAGCACUUACUAGAAGGAUAGCAGCUUGGAAAGCGUCCAAAAUACUUGUUUGGUUUUAGUUAUAGAAGAAACUUUCAAAUGGGUUUUUGCUUAUCCAUGCAGGCUCACACACACAAAUUGAACCGCUAAUUUCUUUGAAUCCUUUCCCAUGAACUUCAUUAGGCUUUUUUUUUGUUUGACUUGCUAACCCUCCAAAUCAAAUUGCCUUCUCAGACCUUUCGCUCCACAUUUCAACUGGAAAUGCGAUGAUCAAGUUUCCGCGGGCAAGGGGGAUUUGAUGUUUGGAUGUGUGUGUGUGUGUGUGUGUGUGUGUAACUGGAUCUUACUUUGGAGGAUUACACAAAAACUAGACAAGCAAUAUGUGGCUGUAUGGGUGGCACAUCUUCAAAGGAUGGUGGCAAAUUUAAUUGUAGCCUUUUUCUUCUUGCUAACUUUUUGUUGUAGCUCGUAAAAAAUGUUUUUAUGCUAAGUAUAAUUUGCUAUGGCUUAAAUACAUGGCAAAAAUAUUCAACAUUUCUGACCUAUUUUCUUGAAAACUUUUUCAAACGCAACAACGUAAUUUAUUUCUACAAAAUAUGUGAUAAAAAUAUCAGACUUCUUUAUUUGUCCGUUUUUUAUGUUAUUUCAUUUUGGGUUUUUUUUUUCAGGCUGUUUUUUCUACUAGUUUUUUGUUUGUAAAAAAUUGCCUGUUGUUUUUAAAUCUGAAUUUUUUUAAUUUCUUGUCAACUUUUCCUACAUUUUUGUCCAAUUUUUUGUCCUUUUUUUUGCAUGUGAAGGGGUACACACAGAGGAUUGAGGGGUGGGGGGGUGGCGGAGUGAAGACAGAUGUGCCGGGAGAUUGUAGCGGUGGGAAAGAUUAGCGGGACAGCUGCGGGCGGUGCAGCUACUCUUACAAAAAAACUUUUGGCCGUAGUUCAAGUUUCAGCUGCUCCUCCCUGUGGUGCAUUGUCGCUCUCUCUGUCUCUCUCGCUGUGCUUGACAUUUGCCAAAUAGUGAGCCUGCAGUCCAUUUGGGAAGGUCAGGCUUGACGUGACAGCCGUCAGGUGCGAGGCUGGGAAAAGGAGAGACGCUGAUGUGAUGGUUGACGUGCAGCCAGAGCAGGCAGGCAUUGACUUCAUCACCUGACGCUGCCCGUGACCUCCAGGUUAACAAGCUAGAGACCAUGCACACACACUCACACACACACACCGAUGCAAAGCCAUGGCUUGAUGCUUUCCAGACACAAGCUACUCCCUGCCGCCGCUCGGCUUGGUACUCUUACCCCCCUCUCCCACCAACUCACACACACACACACACACACACACACACACACACACACACACACACACACACACACACACACACACUCCCUUCACCACCAGCGCCUGCUUAUCAAAAGUUUUUGCCUCUUCAGUUCCCAUUUUCCCAUGCACAGACAAAACAGAGCGGCGGUGCCAAGGGGGCUGGCGUGGCUGGGGAGGGGGGGUCGGUGUUGGUGGGCUUCCUGCACUUCACUUAGGCCCGCUUUGGAGGCGGUUUACGGCCCCGCAGGCUUCCUCUGCACCUUGGCUCGGUGAUGACAAGAUAGAGGACGGGACGCACACACACGCGUAUUGACCUCGGGAUUGAGAUGAACUUUCUGAGGAGCGACAUCCGCCCCCCCCCUUCAAAUCUGCCCUUGUUGCACACAUGUGCUCUCACACACACACAUGCAAAAACACACUCAAGCACUCCCACUCAGCGGCCUAAUGUGAGAUAGAUGCUAUUGUUUUGACGUGGCCUCAUAAAUACAUAGCACAGGCUGACAGGUCCUAUUAGCGCCCGUAAGCUGCUUUAUGAAUGUGAAGGCAAAAGUGCUAUCGGUCUCUUUGCUUAUCAUUCCGUCUCUCUAUCAAUACGGCCAUCUUCCUCCUCCUCAUCUUCCUCCUCCUCCUCCUCUCUAUUAGAGACACAUUGAUCACCUCACCUGACUAAUGGCUAAGGGUGUCUGGGCCUUUAAAAAGUAGCCCGCCACAGCAGUGCCAAGCUCUUCAUCACAGUGACAAGGCAAAUGGCUCCUCUGCUAAUAAAGUGCGCCUGGACAAGUGUGUGUGUGCGUGUGUGUUGAGAAGGUUAUUAAUGACUUAAAGUGGUUUAGUAGCAGGAGUGCUGGUGGUCUGCUCUUCAUCUUGAGUAGUGUGUCCCAUCUAUUAAUGGCACAGCACAAAUACUCCUGCACAUCUUUUCUGCAUGAUAGGAUGAAGAGAGCUCUACACAGAGACUAAAUGUGAGGCGGAUAUGUCGUCCACUUGUGUACCAUGCUGUUUUAAGAUAAACCAGAAAGUGGGAAAAAGAACAGAAGAAGAGAGCACCACAAUUACAACUCCCCGCCAGUGCUGUUUUUCAUCCCCUGUGUUCUUUUCCGCGUAUUUAUUUUCCUAAAAGCAAAGGGCAGCCCGUGUUGGGGAGGAAACAGGGAAGAGGUGUCUGUGAAAUUCGACCGCUGGAUGGAAAACAGGCUUGUGUGUAUGUGUGUGUUAGUGUGUGUGUGUGUGUGUGUGUGUCAAAGAAAGGGCUGGGCGAGGUACCAAAUGAAGAAAAUUGGCAAAAAAUACAUCUACAUAUAGUACAUGUGCAUUAUUUUUGCGUUGGUGUAAUGUACCUCCAUGCCGCUAGAGGGACUCAUGCACUGUCAUGCAUUGUACUGGGAAGCGUGUAAAAUCCGUUGAACAUCGCAGGAAGUCAAUACUUUUUGACUGUCAAAUGUUUUCGGUCAAAAAUAUAAGUGGUUAUUUUCGUUAGCUUUAUGUUAUGAGUUGUCAAUUAUCUAUAAAGCAGCACGACUUUUUUUUCACCAACAUAACUGUCUGAUUACUUUCAUACUUUCAAGUCAGCUUAUCAGGCCCAGGAAUUCAUUCGGUGGAAAAUUGCUUCAUUUUGAUUCAUUUUGGAUUAUUGUUCGUUUGAAAAUUCCGGAUGUGACGCCGAAUACCAGCCUCAUCAAACCGGAAGAGACUCGUCAAUGCUGGCCAACGCUUAAUUGGGGUAUGUUGUUAUUAUUAUUAUCAUUAUUAUUAUUAUUUGAAUGGUUAUUGUUUACCACUGUUCACAAAAAUCCAAUGCAUUGUCCUUGAAAUUGUUCAUGGGGGCUGAAUUAAUAAAACUAGAAGAAGCAAAUGCACGAGACAUGUGUCAAACUCAAGGCCCGGGGGCCGGAUACGGCCCACCACAUCAUUUUAUGUGUAGCUUUUACUGUAUAUAAUAUGAGAUGCUCAUACAUUUAGUUGGGUUGAAGUUAUGACUACAAGCUAGAAGAUAACUAGAAGAAAGUUGACGAGGAAGGUCGUGUGAGGUGGCGUCGCCAUGGCAACUGUUUAGGCUUUUGGAUGAUCCCCCAACCCAUCCACCCCCUUAACCAUAAUGGGGCUGGUAAUGAAACCAGUCUGGCUUUCCUGGCUCAUACACACAUUCGUAGGGAGAGACGAGUAAGUAACACAUGUUUUGCUUUAGAACUUGUUUAUGUUCAUCCAACGGGGAGACAGCACAGCCGAUCAAUUAAAGCCACCGUCAUAAAACAACGCAGAAAAAAACAAAGCAACUGCUGGAUGCGAUGUGUUUUUGGGAGGCUUUUUAAUGUAUUUUCAUCUUUUUAUGUAUUAGACGUCCAUUUGCCUUCAAAGUCAAUCCAUUUAAAUUAUAAUUCAAAAGAAUUGUUUGGAGACCUGCCUUGAAAUAAACUAAUCAUUUUGGAGAAGAAUAUUCCUUAAAAUCCAUUUGAAUUUUAAAUGUGAUUCAAAAUGAAAUAUUUCGGACAAAAUUUGCCCCAGAAGUGCAACAAUUGUUUAAUUAACAAAAAUUAGGCUCACACACACACAAAAAAUGACUCACUCUAAAAGUUUUUUUCACUGGAUUGAUUCAAGGGUAGCAAAAGCCACCGCAAUAGAAUUGGUCACAUUUUAUUGCAUUUUAAGCGGCCUUGUUCUGAUCUCCAUUUUCGUGAUUAUGUUUGGAUCAGUUAAGUUAGGUCGGUCUGACCCACGUCGGAGGCGGAGCUCCGUUUGGGGAAUUCCCUUGCUGACUGACACUUUCUGACCCUCCUUUCUGGUGUCUCCAUUGUAAAAAGAAAAAUUAGACUGAAUGGGCCCGAUAUUGAUAUUUUUUAACCCCAAAAGAAUUCUCAUUCCCACUAAUAUGUGCAAUUCGGUGUGAAUGUAACAUUUUCCCAGCACAUUAUUUUGAAACACUCCAAUUGUAAGUGUUGUCCCACCUAAUUCCAUCACAGUUCAUUGUGUAGCUGCAGGAGCACAGUUGUUCUUUGUCCUGGCGUUGGCUCAUGCCCAAACUCAGCCCUUAGGAAAUUGCGGGCCAAUUUUUCCUGCGUUCAGAACAGCAAAAAAAAAAGAAAAAAAAUCUCCCGGAUGCCUUCAGCUGAACACGCCACUUAAAGGCAACAUAGUGUAUCAGCCUUUCUGUAUUUUUUAACAACCAAACUCAAAUAGAGCGCUUUGUUUUAUUGCAUCCAUUGCACUUACUGCUCUGAGGGGAGCGUUAAAAAAACAGCGCGGGAACAAUACGUGUACUAUGGCGCUGCAAUUUAUACAGUAUCGGCAGGAUUGAAACGUUUGGCAGCUUUGACUGGAAACUAACGACCCUUGUAAUAUAUUUUAUAUCUCCGUGCUUUGCGAUCACGGUUUAUCUUCUUUGAGCAGCGUAUGCUUUUUGCACAGGAAAUGCAUUAAAAAAAAAAAAAAAAAAGUUUGGACUGGAGGGAAAAAUCUUUGGCUAACAGUUCUCAUGAACUCUUUUGGCUCUUGAGAGCGUUUUGUAUUGUACAUUUGUUUUCUCUUGCCACUCAUAAAAGAAAUUCAUUUAGAAAAGCCUCAGAGGCUCAUAUAAUUAUUACAAAUAUUAACAUGGACAAUUGACUAAAUGGGGGGAAAGGUGACACUGACUAAUUUCCACCUCUGCUAGUUGAAGUAUUUCUAAUUUAUUGGCAGUUUUUAAAACAACUCAAACAUGAUCUACCCUCACAAUAAGCAGAGCCUGACUCGUCAAAUCCCGCCUGUAAAUCGUCAAGGGGGUGGGCGGCUCCGAUGUGUCACAAUAUGACUGAGCGCUUGUUUUGCUUAUCAA